RNAcentral lists this ribosomal RNA (201 nucleotides) under uncultured bacterium. RNAcentral's name for it is "partial 16S ribosomal RNA". It matches the Rfam family "Bacterial small subunit ribosomal RNA", at positions 524 to 722 of the family's 1533-position model. The record is from RNAcentral.
UACGUAGGGUGCAAGCGUUGUCCGGAAUUAUUGGGCGUAAAGAGCUCGUAGGCGGUCAGUCGCGUCUGCUGUGAAAACUCGGGCUUAACUCCGGGCCUGCAGUGGGUACGGGCUGACUAGAGUGCGGUAGGGGAGACUGGAAUUCCGUGGUGUAAGCGGUGAAAUGCGCAGGAUAUCAGGAGGAACACCGGUGGCGAAGGC